UACGGGGGGGGUAAGCGUUGUUCGGAAUUACUGGGCGUAAAGGGCUCGUAGGCGGCCAACUAAGUCAGACGUGAAAUCCCUCAGCUUAACUGGGGAACUGCGUCUGAUACUGGAUGGCUUGGAUCCGGAAGAGGGAUGCGGAAUUCCAGGUGUAGCGGUGAAAUGCGUAGAUAUCUGGAGGAACACCGAUGGCGAAGGCAGGUCUCUGGGCAUUAACUGACGCUGAGGAGCGAAAGCAUGGGGAGCGAACAGG
Molecule: ribosomal RNA, 253 nt
Filed under: uncultured bacterium
Lineage: Bacteria
Description: partial 16S ribosomal RNA
Rfam family: Bacterial small subunit ribosomal RNA
Source: RNAcentral